AGUUUUGGGUUCAGGAGCUGUGGAUUGUGUUGUGUAGCUAGUGUAGAGUUGGUUCGGGUUAUUAUUUUCUUCUCGAAGGACUUGGUUCAGUGUCGUGGCAGCUGGCUGACGCUUUUAGGUUUUGUUGUGUCAUGUAAUUGUAAUUGCGAAGAUGAUGUGAUAGAGUCGCUUUCAGUGGUGGUCUCUCGGGUGACCUGGAACGCCAAUUUUGUAAUGCAAUUAUCGUAAUAAUUAAACAGUGAUGUCAAUUGUAGUUAUCUAUGGCCUCAUUCUGCUUCUCUCCUGCGCCUGCUGAUGCUUUGCUUGCACGGUCACACGACUGGAUGAGAGAGAGGCUUGCUGCCUUGUACUAAGUCAGCCACUGCAGCUCAUUAUUCCUGGGAUUUCUGUACUUACCUUUGCCACCGAAGUCAAGAACUACAGUGACCUUGGCGCUAGGUUCUUCAGGCCCGCCGCCGCCCAGGAACCCGUUGGCGUCGACGCCUACUCCAUGGGAUCGUAAGCCACCGCUCAGCUUCUCGCUGCCGCCGCCGCCACCGGACGCUCUCAUUCUCUCGCCGUCGGGAUUUGGAAAGGGGAAAGGGGAAAAUAGGAGAGAGCUAGGGAUUUGGACAGGGAUAAAAAGACAAGUGAAGCAGGGACCGCGGGCGUGAUUUCUAGAAACGUUGAGGGGUUUUCUGCAAAAGGCCCAGUCCGACCAGGUGUGCCACGUAGCAGCCAGCUGGGCGCCAAUUCGCCGUCUCUGAUUGGCUGUGGACUAAACCAUCACAUAGUUUGCAAGUUUGUGGAUGAGUUAAUCACCUUUUGCAAGUUUAUGGACUAAACCAUCACAUCCAAUGCAAGUUUGUGGGUCUCUAGUGCUCUUGCCUCUGGAAGUUGCCUCUUUUAGUUUAGUCGAGGCCUCUGAGCAAAUCGUCCAGCUUCUCCGAACUACAUGAAAAAGUGUGUAAUGAUUAAUUAUAUCUAAAGGUCUCUCUCUGGUACACUGAUGUCUACUACACACUUCUAUUCUUGUAGACAUUGUUGGGCCACUAAUACGUCCUAAACAUAUACUCCCUCCGUCUCAAAAUACUUGUCGAAGAAAUGAAUAAAAAUAGAUGUAUCUACAACUAAAAUACAUCUACAUACAUCCAUUUGUCCGACAAGUAUUUUCGGACGGAGGGAGUAUAUAAUUUUUGCUUGCUUGAUUCUAUAAUGAUAUCAAAUGGCAUAGUUUUGGCAUCAAUUUUCAUCAUUUUCAGGACUAAACUAUACAGUGCCAAGUGCUAGUUGUUAUUUUUUAGACUUUUCAGGAAAAACAAUUUUUUGGAGACAAAAAAAAUAAAAAAUAAAAUGUUAAAGAAAUUUCGGGACAGAAUAAUGGAGGGGUCUGGACCACCUAGGGAGGGCACUACGGGUGGCGAUUUUAGACUUCAACGGUCGGAUUUCUGUGUUUGUAUGAAUAGACCCCACACCCUUUAGUGGGAGGCGGUUUGAAGAGAUGUUUUUUUUAUAUUAGAACUAUACCUUUGAGAAUGCCUUUGCUGCUUGAAUCGCCUCUCUUUCUCUCUAAACCUGCCGAGAGAUAGAGANNNNNNNNNNNNNNNNNNNNNNNNNNNNNNNNNNNNNNNNNNNNNNNNNNNNNNNNNNNNNNNNNNNNNNNNNNNNNNNNNNNNNNNNNNNNNNNNNNNNNNNNNNNNNNNNNNNNNNNNNNNNNNNNNNNNNNNNNNNNNNNNNNNNNNNNNNNNNNNNNNNNNNNNNNNNNNNNNNNNNNNNNNNNNNNNNNNNNNNNNNNNNNNNNNNNNNNNNNNNNNNNNNNNNNNNNNNNNNNNNNNNNNNNNNNNNNNNNNNNNNNNNNNNNNNNNNNNNNNNNNNNNNNNNNNNNNNNNNNNNNNNNNNNNNNNNNNNNNNNNNNNNNNNNNNNNNNNNNNNNNNNNNNNNNNNNNNNNNNNNNNNNNNNNNNNNUGAAGACCUUGUUUGGGAGUUCAUCCAAAUGGCCUUCUUUUGCUUGUUUACUCUCGUAAGUUGCAUGCCUCUUAGAUGGUUAGUGUCAGGUGAGACACUUUAAGUGUGCGAAGAAAUCAAAAAGUUUGUACAAGGCUUGAAGAUUGCCUUUUUUGUGAAUAUCUACCCCGAGUGAGCCUUCUGGAGUGAUUGCCAUGGUGGAAUAGAUUAGUUAGAUCAUUUGUGGUCGAUGUUGAUGAAGUACAAAACCACCCCGCCACUAAUAAUCCAAACCUUGGCAAAAAUCCCCAUGUUUUUUUAUUGUGUUCCCCUAAUUCUUUACUUAUUAUUACAAGUUCUGCUUCUGUUUUUAGUUUCGUAGACAUGCUUAGGGUGUUGUAGACAACUACUGACAACUAGAUUAAAACUUUGCAACUAAAAUGGUUUUUUCUAUAUAAUUACCCAUUCACCCUUCUCUACACACCCCCUCUGAUCCUAAAGAUUCUUAAGAAAAUAGUAUUACCAUUUAAUAUACACUAAUUGGUUUUGUUUGACAAAAUACCGCAUGGAUCAUGUUGUAGAAGUAUAGCUCACUCACGGGAGAAAGAUGUGCACAAGUCGAUCUCACUUUAAAAAUCUACAUAAAAUUAGAGAGACGAAUUUUUUCACAAAAAAGACCCAGAUCCAUAUAAAGGUUCAUCAGAAUCACAAAGCACCUCAAACAUAAUAAAAUUUAAAUCGAUGUACCCUAGACCAUCGAGCGAUCACUAACGCCACUAGAACGAGCUGUGACGCCUCGUUGUCGGUGCUCCCAUACCGGAGAGGUGGAAACAACUUGUGUUAUUUUUUAAUUUUAUUAGAAGCGGUUUUGACGUGUUUAAUUAAAAGAGGAAAAUUGCUAUAUUAUAAAAAAAUGACCAAUUCUUCUUGAGCACGCAAAGAUAUUAUCAUAACCGACAGUUUCUUUCUUGGGAAAAAGGAGAAAUUAGCUUGUGAGAAAUAAAUACCCAGUACUGACUACAAAAAUUGAAACCCUCUACAUUUGACAUUAUAUUUCCCUUAUUUUACUGAAGACCAAACUACAUGAAUGAAGAAGCAAAAACGCCUUCCCUAAGAAAAAGGAAAGAUAAACGCCUUGGCAACGGCAAAGCAAUGCGUUUGUCUCCGACUUGGUAAAACCACAAAGCCUGAGCACGCAACAAAACAGAGGAAGCUUUGUUUUCAUCUACUCUACUCAAAAGCAUCCAGCUUUCCAGGAGAAAAGAAGGGAGCGAUUCCGUCUGUAUCCUCCGACUCGCCGAGCUCGUGACCCCGCCUCGCCGCCGGACCCUAGAAGAAGCGGCCAGGCGUUUCCGCGCCAACCGCCAAACGAGCUGCAGAGCUCGCACCUUCUCUUUCUUCCCUUGGUUUAAGUAGCCGUGGCGGCCUGCUCCGGCCGGUGCCGCUCAGAUCUACCGCGGCAGAGGGGGAAGCCCGGGGUUCAUGAUGGAGCACACCGCCGUCGGCGAGGAUCAGGCCAUGUCCGGUGAGUGGGCCGAUGCCGGCCUUGGGUUGUUAUCGCGUUGUUACUUUGAUCUCGCUCUGUUCCUGGAGACGGCUGUGGUUCUAGGGGGUCUUUGGGCUUUCGAACCUUAGAAAUUAGAAUCAUGUCAGGUCCUCUGUGUUCAUGGUUGGUUUUUUCCAGAUUCGUGUGGUUAUCGAAGGCGUUAUAUUUGUCUAACUUGUGCGAUAUGGUUGUGAAUGCGUGUCACUGAGGUUUUCCUGGAAAAUUGGAGCAUUUUGUUUUCUUUACGUACAAGUUAGUGGUCAUUUUCUAUUCUCGUUUGAGGCGAGUAUAAUGAUUCGCUGCUUCAUGAAUUAGAACACCGGUUGAGCUGUUUCUUGUAUAGCUUUGAUCUCCUUCACCUUUGUUUCUGUUGGAGGUAGAAUAACGAUCCUGUUCGUCUUAGUUGAUCGCCAUUUACGAUGGAGAUUUACCUUCCAAGUGUUAUUGAAUUACUACUAUUUACUCCACUUUUGGAAAGUUUACAGUUGAAGAAACUUGAUAUCUGAGUUGGAUUUCGUUUGGUGUUAGGGCAGAUGGCGUUUGCCAUAAGUACGUUUUACUCCAUAACUUUCCAGCGAUAUCUACCCGCAAAGAUUCGCUAGGGGUGAUUGUUCUAUUUUUUGCAUUUUUCUUUCAGUCUUAUGUCUCUUGUGAUGUGCUUUUGGGAUAUCCAAAUAUAAAUUCAGUUUUUCUGAUACGAGUUAUUCUGGAUACAAUAGAAAUGCUACUUAUUGCGGUCAAUCUAUGUUAGGGAAGGUAGUUGCAAAUUUUUAUUUUCAUGGACAGCACAAUGUUUGGAAUCCCGAUUGGUAAAAUUGUUAUAAAAGGCAAUAUUAGGGGUAUGCAUCGUCCAUUGGAUCCUUCAGUCUAUGCCACCUUCAUUGUAACAUCAGAUAAAUCAGAGUUCUCUGAAAGCUUGGUUAACUUAAAUGAGAUAAAAGUAAGACUACUCUGUGACUGUGUGCCGAUGAUGUAAUAGAUUUAACAUAUAUUUCAGACCUUCGCGAUAAGCAUCGCCUGGACCUGGAGAGUUUAACGCUGACAUCACAGCCAUUCAAAACACUCGCAUUAUUUGUGCUAGCCAUUGGACAGAGUAUAAGAAGCACAUGUUCAUGUGUUCUGAAAGAAGGUUCUCGGUUGAAGUUCCUGGUUCCGUUGCUUGGUGCUACCUGUGUGCUUCUCCUGGUAACUGAUGGCCCACAUGAGAAGGUAUCAUCAUCUUUCUGUUUUAGCACAUUUCUGUAUUUCAAAUUAGACAAAUCGAGUGGCGGUAUGCUGAAUUGAACUGCAAGUAUGCAAAUUAACAGCGCACUGCUUUCACAGUCUCUGGAUAUGCAUGAGAGAAAAUGUUGCUUUUUGAAUGGUGAAAUCACUGAAAUGUAUCUAUUUAUUCUGAAUGAGAAGGGGUAAGAUUUGCACUUUUUUAGGUUAAGGUAGAUGUGAGACUCAAACCUAGGCGGGUGGGAGCAUUUUUGUACCCUGUCUGUGGUGCGUGCGUUCUUGCAGCAUGGAUAAACCAUUAUAUUCUGUCUUCAAUGCAGCAUAUGCAGGAACUGCUUUGGUAUGCCAGAUUUGGAUUAUGGUGGGUCGUACUAGGGGUGGCUUCAUCCAUUGGAUUAGGUAAAACCCAAAAUUCAAUUUAUAUUUGUGUGAAACUGGUUAAUCUGUUGAAUAAAAUGUUAGCAUAGCAACUAAGUAUUUAUCAUUAAGAGUAUACAUGCAGUUCAAUACUCAGCACGUCAUUUAUUUUUACAGGCUCUGGCUUGCACACCUUUGUAUUGUAUUUAGGGCCUCAUAUCGCCCUUUUCACAAUGAAAGCGGUUCAGUGUGGCCGGGUUGAUUUAAAGAGUGCUCCUUAUGACACUAUUCUUCUUAAAAGGAGGCCUUCAUGGUUGGAGAAAGAAUGUCUGGAGUUUGGACCUCCAAUAUAUCAGGAAACAAUCCCAUUCAGCAAAAUAUUGCAUGAAGUUCAUCUUGAAGCUGUUCUUUGGGGCAUUGGAACUGCACUUGGAGAGCUUCCUCCAUAUUUUAUCUCUAGAGCAGGUUAUGUUUGUACUGCUUUGCUCUUGCCAACUCGAGCAUAAUUUACAUAGUUCUAUGUUUGCUCAUACCUUCUUAAGCAUAAGCAUAUCAUGCUAUACUUCAUUAUUCUUCAAAUUAUUAAUCCAGGGUGUCGUUGUGAAUCACCUAAAAUUAUGUAUAAAUGCCUCACCAGGUCUAAACUUACAUGAACACAUAACAUAGUUACUGUUAUGGCGUUGCUAGAAGGAGGGCACGAGAGGGCCGGCCGGGGGCCUUUUUGCCCAUGGCCGAGCAAGAGGGAAGGGAUUUCCUUCUUAAUUCUUGCUUGAUUAGAUUGAUACAUCUCCUCUCUUUAUAUAGAGAGGUUUACUUAACUCUCAAGCAAGGCUUACUUGACCCCUAAGUAAACGACCAUUAUCUCUAAUUAACUCUAAGACUAAUGGACCCAUUAGGCCCAUUACGUACUCUAACACUACACCCCACCUGGACAUGCAGCUUGUCCUCGAGCUGCAGCCUAACCAACUUAUAACCAUGACUCGACGCAACGCAAACCUAACACCUAAAAACAAGCCUUUUACAUCUCGGCUUGUUUUAUUAUUCUCAACCUGAAAUAGACUAGGACGCUUUAUUUUGGACGUGCACGUGUACAGCCACCUGGAUCCCAUGGACACCACCUGGACAAAAGGAGUGCAUGUGUAUGGCUGUUGGUCUGCACCGCACAGGGAAGAGUGGAGGGCUUGCGAUGGAGAAUGACGAGGAGGGGUGCGCCCCCCCAACCGCCGAUGUCGCAGACUUUGAGGUCGCUGCCCGCGGGGAAAACAGCAUGCCGGCCGCCCGUGGGGGAAACCACAUGCCCAAGAUCCCUGACGCAGCGGACGAGAUCGAGGUCCUUUGCACAGCGAAGGGCAACUUGGAGGAGCGGCAGCUGCAGACCACGCAUCUCCCGCACACGCCGACGCGCUAGGAGGCCGCGCGCAGCAGCCUGCAGCCUCACCGCCGCCGACACAUGGCGGGUAGCGAUCCAAGACGGAAGCGGUGACGGCGACGGCAGGGACUUGAUCUGCUGGAUGUGGACGCCCUGGGAUGGCGGCGGCGCUGAUGGGAACGAGGUCGUUGCACUCCCGUCGUAGGGCAUCCCAUACUGGGCGGCGGAGCUGACCGGCGGUGGCUGCUGCAGCUGCAGCGGCUGCUGCGCUGCCGCGCCGGGCGCGGCGGAGGCCGCCAGGAGCGGCGGCUGCCACUGCAGCCAGGGCUGGGCGGUGGUGGCGAUGGAUGGCAGCUGCAGUGGCCCGGCGAGUGCGGCGAAGGCCGCCUGGUGCGGCGGCGCGGGGGCGGCGAUGGGCGGCGCAACCGAGUGCGGCCCGUAGGACCCGACCAAGAACAGGUGGAUCUCCUGGACCGCCUGGGUUAGGUCCAGCAGCACCCCGGACACAUCCUCCCAGGUGAGGACGGUGGGGGCGGGUGCGACAGAGGAUCCCGGCGCGGGCAGGAGCGGGGUGACGGUCGUGGUGGUCGCCGGAGGCGACAAGGUGACCGGCAGCGGAAGAGACGGGCUUGGCGGUGGUGAAGACAUGAUCGAACCGAAGCUAGCUGAUACCAAAUUGUUAUGGCGCUGCUAGAAGGAGGGCACGAGAGGGCCGGCCGGGGGCCUUUUUGCCCAUGGCCGAGCAAGAGGGAAGGGAUUUCCUUCUUAAUUCUUGCUUGAUUAGAUUGAUACAUCUCCUCUCUUUAUAUAGAGAGGUUUACUUGACUCUCAAGCAAGGCUUACUUGACCCCUAAGCAAACGACCCUUAUCUCUAAUUAACUCUAAGACUAAUGGACCCAUUAGGCCCAUUACGUACUCUAACAGUUACUUUGAUGUGUAAUUGCGUGUCAGAAAGAACUGCACAAUCCUCUUAGCAAGAAGCUUCUUGAUCGCAUAUAUAGCAGACUUUGAUCAGUGAUGACCGUUGACUUUUUAUUUGAUUGUUGCUUAUUUCUGUACCAUCUUCCAGUAUAGCCUUCAGUCAGAAAUAUAAUUAUCCUGUAUGCAGAGCAGAGUAGUUAUAAAAUUCAGUUUCAUGGUCCUGUCCAGAUGUUAGAUCUUGAAUGCAUUUAACUUCCAUCCAGGCUCCCACUAAGCCUUUUGUGAUUCUUCCUUUGCUACUUUUAUUAUGGUUAUGUUUAAAUGACAAUCGUUUUUGUUCCCAUUUUUAAUGAAUAUGGCUAACCAUAUGAUAAGUUGGACUUAUCUGGCUUAUAAGUUUGACUAUCUUGACCACAAUAAGCGACCAUAUAAGAUUGGCAUAAGUUAAGGUUAAACAAUCCGUGAUCUCAGUGAUUUCUUUGGAAGAAUAAUUGAUGCUAUUAAUCCAUGUUUCUAACAUUUUAUUGUACAAACUUUAGCUUAAUUUAGACUAAAGUAGCUCUAAAUUUGUGUAAUUAAUUAGGAAAAAUUACUUAACGCAACUGAUUCAGGUUAAUACAAAUGAACUACAGCUAGCAUGUCAGGCCAAAAGGUAGAGGAGUUGGCAGAAUUGGAUGCUUCUAUCUCAAAAGAAGGUUUUCUAUCAUCAACUCUACGUCGGGCCAAGCGCUGGCUUAUGUCUCACUCACAAUAUCUUAGCUUCCCUACAAUACUGCUACUUGCUUCGGUUAGUUUCUUUCUUGUGGACAUUUAUUUGCUUGUAUACAUGCUUGAUUAGGUCACCGUACUAGUUGCCUUGUAGCUCCUUAACAAUUUAAGCUAUUAGGUGAACUCCACUUAAAUUUCUUGAGAAGCUCAUUCUCUCCCCACUCAAAUUAUAGUUGCUAUAAAAAAUUGCAUAUGAAAUGUGACCAUGACUUUCCUUGUGACCAGUGGAGCUAUUGCAAAUGCAGAGAAGUUAUCUUUGGCAUAUUAUUGCUUCAUUGUUAACUAUGACAGUUAGAGACUAACUUUUCCCUUCGUUAGGUGCCAAACCCUCUGUUUGAUCUUGCUGGCAUUUUGUGUGGCCAAUUUAAUGUCCCCUUCUGGAAGUUCUUUCUGGCAACUUUAAUUGGGAAGGCCAUUAUCAAGGUUUAUAUGCAGGUUUGCUACUUUCUAGCUUGGUACAGUUCCUCCUAUGCACAGCAUUUAGUUUUAACUGCAACAUUUGCAUAUUCAUAUUUCAUUUCUUUAAUUAAUUUAAACUGAUGGACCUAACCGUGUUUUACAAAUUACUUAUGUAGACAACAUUGGUAAUUACUCUCUGCAACAACCAACUUCUUGAAUUGGUGGAGGAAAGGCUUGUAUGGGUGUUUAGCAAUUCCCCUGGAGUAUCAUCCAUCCUUCCCUCUUUAGUCACCAAGUUGAAGACAGCUAAGGAUAAGUUUUUAAUGGCAAGUGUUGCUACAUCAGCUUCUAGUGCUGCGAAGGUACCGGUUUUUGCUAAGCUUCGAAAUAGUUUUGAGCAUCUAAAAUUCUAAUGUUUAUGUUUUAUUUCUUUAUAAAUGAUCUCUAUCAUCUUUUGAUGUGCUUAUUUCUUAGGAAGUUUAAUUAAUUUAUUAAUAACUUAAACGAGUGUCUCUAUUUAUCAUGUAAUAGCAUGCUGCAAGUGAUAAUCGCGGGCUUACGGCCGAUAAUCUGGUUGAAAUGUUUUGUAUUCUCAUAUACUCCCUCCAAAAUAGAUGACUCAACUUUGUACUAACUUUAGUACAAAGUUAGUACAAAGUUGGGUCAUCUAUUUUGAAACGGAGGGAGUAUUUUCCAACUGACAAAUUAACCAAGUCCUCGGUGUUGUUUGCACAAUUGAUUAGUUGUAGAUAGACUGAUGGAGGCUGGUUAUGAUUGAUGACGAUUGUAACAUAACUUCAGCAGUAAUGGAGUGGAACGAUGAUUAUGAUGAAGUUUCCUUUUCUUGUUUCCUCUGCUGUUUUUGCUUAGCUUGAUGUUAUCAUCUGCUUUCCCAGAAAGUUGCCAUUUCCCCUAAAUAUGAAUUGUCCUCGUGCAGGGGAAGAAGUGGAAUCUGUCAUUCUCUUUGAUCUGGAACACCGUGGUGUGGCUCAUGAUCGUGAAUUUCAUCAUUCAGAUAAUCACUUCCACAGCACAGAGUUAUCUGAAGAAGCAACAAGAGCUUGAGAUCAGCAUGAAGUCAUCAGCUACACUAAGUUCCGCCUCUGAACCUGCUGCCAGAAUAUCAAAUUAAUCUAGCCAGGGCAUUUCAUCCGGACAGAUAUUCAAUCUAUAUUCAUGCCAUCACUUCCUGCAUGAGACUGAUUUGGGAAUUCUAAAUCUGGUCAUUUACUGGAUAGCUGGCUUUAUUCUCCAAGAAAUCACAUUGAUACAGUGUAUAUAACCCAUCCCAUCAGGCCAGCAUGACUGCAAAACUAAGAACCGCUGUCUGUAUUCCCGUGGAGCACUAGCUUACUGAUCACUUAGUAGAAAGUCGCAAAAAAGAGAGGAGAAAAAAAAAAGGAAGUUUGACUAGUGCGCAAGUGUAAUGUUGGCCUUGUACCCUCCGUAAAGAAAUAUAAGAGCGUUUAGAUCACUAAUGUAGUGAUCUAAACGCUCUUAUAUUUCUUUACAGAGGGAGUACAUAGCAACCAAGAUAUUGCCAUCAAUUGGCACAAUAAGCAUUAAGUUUGUGCCUACCAUCUUGAUGCUGUCGUUUUUGUCUCAGCAUUGGUGAUGAUCUGUCAAGAUCCGCCAUUUGUUCCUGAUGGCUACGCGUUGAGAAAAUUCAUGUUCCUGUCAAGUGUCAAUGCAGAUGCCAGAUGGCACGUCAGGACAAAAAAAAACUCCUAGUAUCUUUUUAUCAUUUUACUUUCUUUACUCUUUAGUGAGGUUGCAGUUUUGUUCUGCUUAUUUGGAGGCUUGAGCGAGCUUGGACUCUUCCAUCUUGAGAGGCAGAUUGAGCUGUGCGCUCAUGGGUUAAUCACAUCACAUGGCUUGCAGCGUGUGAGGUUUAUGUUUGUCUACAAUCGUCAUGUUGCUUAAUUAUGCUAUAUUGAGGUAGGGUCUUUUUUUUGUUAGUGAUUAAACACCUACUACUCCUGAAUCUUUAUUUGCAUUGUUCAGGGAGGAAGUGCGUCUGGUACAAAAGGUGACCCUUUUUUUUUUUUUUAAAGGUGAUCCUUUUAUCCUUUUAGACUGCAGGGCCAUCAAAAUUUGAAUUUUGAAACAUUCAACUGCUAAAGUACACCACCUUUACAUUUUGCAGCUGGGAGUGCAUACUAAUUUGCAAUAAGUAUAUAUAAAAUCAUUUAAAACUACAUUAUUCGAUACUAUAUUACUGUUAGGAGUAGAGCCAGUAGAUCGCCUUACCUGAGCCAGAGAUCCGGAAAGCUACUACUGGCGCGCAGUAACUGAUAAAUGCACAUGCACUGGCCGAACCUAUCCUACGCGCAUGCUAUUUUCCUACACUGCCCUACCACUGCCCCCCCCUAUGCUGGAAGCGGCUCCCCUGACGUACAUCACCUGCAGUUGUGGCACUGCCAUGUGGGCCUGUUUUUUAAUGAGCCCUACAGCAACGUAAAUCUACCACUACGAUCCUAUCAGCUUUCCAGCUAUAGGCGGCUAGGAGGCUACGGACUGCAAAGCCAACGGAAUAUGGUAGCACUGCUGCUAUUCUACUGCAAGCUGGUCAGGCAUCAUAUCAAAACAGUGGUGCUAGGAAAUGUAUUUUUUUUAGGCUUCUCUGUGGGGAUCCGAGCCCGAGUUUUUUGGGAACGGAAAAAUAGCAAUGUGAUCUCGGCGGCUAUGAGCAGGGAAAAGAAAAUGUUGCACAUCUCAAGAAAUGUUGGCGAGAAGUGCCCGUUGUGCGUUUCUUGGAUACUUUGUACUCCCUUUGUCCGAAAAUACUCAUCGGAGAAAUAUGUAAAAAUGGAUGUAUCUAAAACUAAAAUGCGUCUAGAUACAUUCGUUUUUACGACAAGUAUUUCCAGACGGAGGGAGUACCGUUGAAUGUUACUUUGUGCUACUUCCAUCAGAGAUGUUCAAGCUUGGGUAUGCAUGGUUCUCAUAUUACAAAUUCGCCGCUUGUCUUAUUAGCGCAUAAUCUGACAUACUUUUCACAGAAAAAUACAGGUGCGCUCAAGUUUUUCUUGAACUCCUGGGGCGCAAAAACUUCCGCUGUUAUCUACUAUCUUGCUCUCUAUAUAUUUUUUCCAUUGGUGCAUCAUUUCGGUGUGCAUAUUCUGUAAAUUUCAAUACUAGACAUGAGUUACAACAAAAGACUUUUGAUGGUAAUGCCACACCCUUCGUUAUUUUUCAGUCUCUGAAAUGCUGAUGUUCAGGGGGUAACAUGCCAAAGCAUAUUCAUUAUUACUACACAAUUUAUUUAUCUAUUAGCUUCAUAGACACCAACUUCUCUCUUGAACUACACUAUGUAUAUACUAGUUUUAUUGACUUUGUUAGGCACUUAUGACAAGCAAUUCUAGUCUUCCCCUACUUCCUGCCACGCCACUCCUCUUAAUUUUAUAUACCCUCCAUUAGAUCCCUUUCAAGCCACUAUAUUUAUAUAUCCAUGAGAAUACGUCUAGGAUCGGUAGUCAUUACCACGUACUUACUCGUAAAGUAAUCGCCAUGAUACCGAUAUAAUAACAGAUUGGUAACAUGAGCAUUUGUUUAGUGCUGAGGAUAAUCUUGUCAUACCAAAUGGUUGGAUUAAAUAUGUUUGCAUGUACUUAUAUGUGGAACUGGCCAUCAGCUGAUCAUAUAUUGCCAAUAUAAAAUGGUUCAGAUGUGUGCUCAGAGCUAUAUCUGUACGUACCACCAGUCAAACAAAGCAUCCCAGCCCAUGCACUUGCCAUAGAUAAAUAUACAAUUGGCCCUACCACAAGAUAUUGUAUCUAGUGGUGAACAUGAUGAUAUCUUGCGUCGAUCGUGCAAUUUAAAAUAUCAGUAUUUUUUAUGUGCCAGCGAGCCAGCUAGUGUGAUCAAGCCUCUAGAGGGAUGUGGCAGCAUUGGGUUGCUUGUCCAGGUCACAUUGGGCCUCAGGAAAUUUUCAACCUAGAGACAUGAUCCCAGACAUAUAAUAUGCCGGGUGGGGCCGAUAAAGUGGAAACAAAGAACACAAAAUAUAUUGGAGCCAUCGUACUACAUUGUUGCCUCCCCUGCCAUUAGUUUAGUCCCAAGUAUAGUGCAAACAAACUGGACAAGAAAGAAGCUUUCAAGCAUUUGGGCAUCUCUUUUGAUAGACCUCAUUAUCAUGUUUUCAGCCUUUCUGGCUUUAUACUAGUACCUCCCCCCUCACUAGCCCUAUAGGAUGUAGUAGUAGCACAUUUCGGAAUAAUGCAAGUUGCCAUAUUAUAAUAGGAACAAAUCAUCCAAAAUUAAUGGUUUUAUUUUUGACAAGAAAAGUAAUGAAUGUUUGAUGAAUGGCUAAUGUGGGCCAGAUAUCAGUAGAUUUGACAUCUAUAUAAAUUGUGGUGGGCCAAUAAGCCCAAACAGUUAGUAGAUCCUAGAAACCAACUCUCAUUCACUAGCUCUUUCUAUAUCAACAAAGCAAGUUCCACCAACUCAAAAAGAAAGUGAAACCCGAAAAAAAAAGCAAGUUCCUUUUGCUAAAUCGCCAAGUCUAGCUGGUUAAUUACUAAUACAAGACACAACAUUUGUCUGCACUUUGAAUUUGAGGUCCCCUGGGUAUCAUCAUCAUUACAACUAUUAGCCCUUCAUUUCAUUUUUAUACUAGUAACUAGUCUUCCUUUUGUAUGCCAUCUUACACGCUUUUACGGUAUGCAAGUUUAUAUAGUUAGAUGAGUAAAAUUCCACUCUCGUAUACAUUGCAUCUAUUGAUAAGAGAGUGAAUUUUAGUUUAUACCUUCAACUUUGAAAAUUUUGUGCGCCCAUUUAACAAAUUUUCAUCAAGAUUACCUCAUUUAGCGAAACUUUUGCAUGUUUUACCCCCUUUAAUUUUUUAGAGCAAUUUGCUAGGUGGGCUCUCGGCUAUAUAGUACACAAUUUCUCACAUCGCGGUUCUCCUCUUGGCGUUUUUUCGUGCUUGAAUCGGUCGAAUGACUAAGACAGAAACAAUUUGAUUCUCAUGGUUGUCAGUUGCGCAAAUGCACUGCUUCAUUUUGGUGGGUUCCUUCUUCAUGUCAAAGUUGUUGCUUGUUUAUUGCUUUGACCUCAUUUUCCUUCACCAUAUUUGCUUAAGGAUUUGCAUCGCACUAGACAUAAUUCUAUCGACGCUUUGCCUGCCAACAAAACCAUUGGAGGAGCUAUCCACAACUUAAAACAAAGAACAAUUUCUCGGGUAGACUAGGGAGAAUUCGAGAUGAUGGCAAGAUCAAUGGAGCUAUGUUGUAUGUACGGUAAUGAAUGUGCUCCAUGACAUUUCUCCUUCCUAGGAGUAGAAGGAGGCCAUCAACAAAGCCCCACCUCCCAUUCAACUUCUUCUUUUACCACAUGUUUUCGUGCGACUCUCCUCUUCCUCCUCUACAAAGCACCAGGGCCACCACCACCUUGAAACCAGCGUUCACGCCCACCACCGUUUCUUACGGUGCCACAUCGUCAUCGUCACCCUGUCGGCACCACCUCUGCCAAAAUCCUAAGCCAACCAUGUGCAUGUGAGGGAAACCAGUGGCACAAGAGUCAAGGGUGUUUGUGAGGGCUGACGCCGUCUAGGCAAGUCCGACUCAAACAUUUCAGCGCCAGGUGUACAUGACUGUCGCGACCUAGUUUGCAUAUCACUCUGACUAUUUUAAAUGGUGUAAAAGCUAGCAAAACAUUUGCUAAAUGGGGUAAUUGGGAUGAAAAACUAUUAAAUGGGCACAAUUUGCGUCAUAAAUGUCAACGUAGAGGGUAUAUAAUGAAGAAAAACAUGCCAUCUAGUGCAUUGAUUUGGUUAGAGAGUAGCUAACAAAAUUGCACAUCUUUAAUAAAAGAUUUAACAAAGUAAUAAAAAUUUAGAAAUCUGGGAUUAUAUUUGCUUUAGUUAGUUUGCAGUUAAAAUCUUAAAAACUAAUAUUUAGUCUUUUGAUAUUUUACCCAUGUAUGCUUCAAAUAUUGACUUCAAGUAUAAUGCACAGUGCACAUCAACCUAUGCAUGUGUAGUUUCACUCACUGUAAUUAGUGCUACAAUUUUAACUGGUGGAUAUUGAACAGAUCGGCUAAAAUUAGAUUUGACAUUUUCUUUACUUAUCUGAAAAAUGAAUGUAGCACUCCAAAAAAAUCAAAGUCUAAAUGACAGCUAUCCAAACUUCAUUUGUUCAUUCGCUUAGGAAAAUGAAAGUUGCAGAGUUUCGAAAAGAUCAAAUAACUUACGAUGAGUAUACAAACAAGUCAAAUGGGCAGCAAGUUGGACUAAACUAUGCACCUAGCUGGAGUCAAAUAAUAUAAAAUCGAUACGAACCGAUCUAUGCACCUAGGUCAACAUUAUCUAGGCCGCAACUACUUAGAGACGCAAAAUACAAGACGGAAAACUAAUGUUGUAGUAACCUUGCAAAAAAAAAAACUAAUGUAUUAGUAGCUUGUUGCAUAAAAUAUUUGUUUAUUAUUAUCCUUGUUAUAGCAAGGUUGUUCUUGAUUAGCCUCGUGUGGAUAGCAAUUCGGGGGUCACUUUGAUUCAAACGAUUUUCAUAGAAAUUUAGAGGAUUAGUCCUUGGAAAUUUUUCGUGCGUCAAUUGAAUGAUUGUAUAAGAUUAUUUUUUCUAAGGAUUGUUUUGCAAUUUAUUUCAAAAGAGUUACCCAUUUCAACAAAAGAAUCUUUUGUUUUUCAUGUGGUGCAAUCAAACGAACUUUGGCACAAAGUCAGACAUGUAGGAUUAUGAGUGCACAUCACAUUGUGAUACUACUUUUUUUCAAAUCCUAAAGAUCAAAGAUGGUGUAGUAGUAAACUAAAUAUAUAGUCUGUUUUGGUACCUACUUAUUUAACCUACAAAAUUUCAAGAAUAACUGAGAAGAAAUUAACUCAAACCUCUACUUUUCAAUAAAGGUCUUUUCGAAACGGCAGAUCUUCCAAGCAGAGUUUCGUCCAACUAUCAACACUUUAAGUGGUCAGCAGAUAGCUGGUCAGUGUUAAUAAUCAUUUCUUGAACAAUCGCUCUUAUAUUUGUGUUAAGUUAAUAGGUAGGAAUCUGCUUUUUUUCUUCUCGAGUAUGCAGAUAAAAGGAUCGAAAUCAGCGGUUAGCUAGUGGAAUUGGUAAACCAUAUUCUAUGGGGGAAUCAUUGUACCAUUAGCUAGGUACGAACAGUACCAUAAAAGAAAUCUAAGGUAUGAAAACUACUAAAAAAAAGCUACUCCGGUACGAACAAGAGACAUGGCAAGCAAUAGUAGAAUAUGAUUAUGAUAGAGACGCAGCCGCGAACGGGACCUUUUACUGGUUUAGGCUUUAUAUAUACGCACGUACACUCACCCAUACGAAUGCAUAGAUGUAUAAUCUAUCCUUAUCAACAUCUUCGACAAGCACCGGGAGUUGAACUCUGAUAGGUUGGGGAUACCGCUGUCCUCCUAACUAUCCAAGCACAGGUUGGUUCGCUACUCCUUUAGGCUUUAGCGUUAUUCUAAUUGUGCAAAAAAAAAUUGCGAGAAUUUCUAAUAGUGUAAAUUACUUACAGUAGUUCAACAUACUUUUUUUGUCUUCAUCGAUGCAAUUAUUAAUUAAUCACCACUAUGAUAGACAUUACUUUUAUCUUAGUGGCCACCAUCUGGGUUUAUAGCGUGUUCGACCGAGGCCUUCAAAUCGUCCUCAUAUAUUAGAGCGGACGACCCAGACACUUCUCAGGAAAGAGAGAGAGAUAAAGAAAGCAUCCAUAACGCUACAAUGGUACUAGUAGAUCCAUCAUGAAAUAAAUAUUGAUACUUUCUUCUAUCCGUUCUAGAUACAUCUUUUUCAGCGACAACUAAUAUGGAUUGGAGGAAAUACUAUAUUUAUUUGAUAUUGCAUACCAUUAAUAUUAGUGUAAUCUUCGGAUAGGAUCUUCCCACCGUAUACAACACUGAUUUAUCAUUGAUGUAAUACGAUGUUUAUUUUUGGCUGCGUUAGAUUUGUUGGCUGUGUGCAUCUCUACCAUGUAGAGACCGGGCAUCCUUUGAAUGCGGCUGUAUCACCUCGAUAUAUCAAUUCAAUGAAAUGUUCUUUAUCGGAAAAAAUCAAUAUUAGUAGGACAUCACUGGAUGGUGGCCAGUCUCGUCUAGAAUGGCACCUAGCCUCUGGAGAAUGAAAAAGGAAAGGGGGAAUAGCGGAGCGAUCAAAGACAAUCACAAUGAAAAGGGCAAGCAAGCAAGCUAGCCAGUGACUGAUUUAAGAAGGGACAAAGUGCAGGGCGCACAAAUACAAAGCCAUCAUCAUCUUUGGUCAUUGCUUGGGCGAGGCGGUGCAUGUGGUCAAAUAAUCAAGAGACUGUCUAUAGACUAAUGCGUGGCUUGGCUUGCCAUUGCCAAUCCUGUGUCGUGAGAGGGUGGAAAGGUCAUCUGCCUACCCAAAUGAUAUGUUAUCUAUCAGGGUUAGAGUGUUGGACCAACCGAUGAAUGCGAUUGUGAAUGGACUGCAAUAUGUUACUAGACAAGUUUCCCUUUUCUGUUGCGACGUGGACUGGUAUAUAUCCUUGUCAUGUGAGCUGGACAUGUGGCUAGAGUGUGGACCAGCAAAUUUUCCACAUCCUACUCAUGUGGAUGACAAUGUAAAAUAUCAAUAUUUGUAGUAGCAUUAUUGAUGUCAUUUUUUUACAUCCAUGCAUAUAUGCAUAUCGGUAUAAUUUAACAAAUACAGUAUAUUUUCCCAUGCUUCCUCCACACACUCUUCCUCAAAGUAAUAAAUGAUCCCAAUGGAUGCAACUUUGACAAUACAGGUGAUGGUGAUUUGACAAAAAGUUUAUAUGGAUAGUGAUAUUACUAAAUUUGAAAUUACUUAUAUUGUUUCCCGUGAGCGAAAUGAAAUACUCCAGGCAGUAUGUGCAUUCUGGAAAGCUGCGACGUUUUUUAUACCGUUCGACAGCUUAGGCCCUUCUCAGUGCUCCACGGUGUACAAGUGCUAAGGAUGCCACAUAGGCAGAAAAAUGAUGUGGCAAAGCAAUUAAAAAGAAGAGAGAGGAUUAUGGUGACCCCAACAAAAACCAAUGCUAAGCACGUGAACCUAGACAAAAAGACUACCAACCAAUACAUGAAGGAGUUUUAUUACUAAACAAUUAAAUAGAGAAGGCUUAGCUACAAAAUCUAAGCACCGAUGCAUUGGGGACAUUAGUUGCUAAGCAUUUUAAUGCACUUAGCACCCCACUUUAGCACCAAUGCAUUGAGAGAGGUCUUAUUAACAGUAUUUUUCAGAGGGCUAGUGACUAGCUCCUACAACUAGUCACCAUCAUCAUGCAUAUGCAUGCAAUUCUACCAAGAUAGAAAAUUCAUGCUUAGGUACUCGGUCCAACAUUAGAUUAACGGGCUCUUAGAUUAAUCGAUUGAGAAGGCCCAAGCACCUUUGGUGGCGUUCAAAGAUCAUCACUAGAGAAAGUCCAGCGGGGGUGUGGUGUGGUGCGCCCACACGAUCCGCAAGCCUUUAAAUACUCCGCCACAGAGUAUACAAUUGACCUGGCUGUGCGAGCCCAUCGACCCAUUUAAGUACGCGCACAGUGCAGAGAUCGUUUUUUAUAUGGAAAAAUCGGUGGAAGCUGAUGGCAACAGGAACGGCAUUAUAAAACCCACGCGGUGGCGAGUGCAAAGGCGCGCGCGCGCCCCUCUCGAUCUGUCUCGCUCUCCAUGGAGCCCAGCCAGCUCCUCCGCUACUCGCCGCCCGGCUGGCCGUCUCGUCCCCCGGAUUGGAAGGCUGCUGCCGGUGUGAAACAAAUCGGCGACACGCGAGAUUUCACCGACGGUGGCCGCGGGAGGAGGCGGGGUGCCUUGGUGCUCGCUGUUGGAGUGUGAGGUACGUUGGUGUCGCUCGCCUCGCGGUUCGUUCAGUGCUUGGCCUUGGGACUCCGCGAUUGCCCUAGCGUCAUGCCUGAGCUCAGGCGAGAGCUUCCCGCGGGUCAACGGGGAGAGGGAGGGAGCCAGCGUGCCAGGGCCUAAGCCGGAGCGCGACGGAAUGCAAUGCGGCGACCGUCUGGAUUUCCCCCUAUCUCUCUCUCUCUUUCUGUUGGUGCUGGGCAAGUACUACUACUGCUCCUUCCCUGCUUCGAUAUUUUGCUGCUGCUGGCAGGGCAGGGCAGGGUACCCAAUGAUGACGUGAGGACUUCGAUGAGAUGUGAAUCGGCGCGGCGUCGGGCCGGCAUGGCGCGGGAUUGGUCGUCGCAGAGUUCGAGCCAGGGCGCGCCGUUCGAGAUCGACCGUGACGCAGGGGUCUGUAUAUGCUAUGCUUGGACAGAGCCUGCGUGGUGUGGUUCCGUCCAUGUCAUUCAUGCUCGGAAUCGUUCAACAAGGACGGAAACACAUCAUGCUUAUCUAUCCGGAGCGUGCCGGCCGUACCACAUUGCUUGCUUGCUUGCUUGCGCGCGUCUCAUUUCUAUGCCGACUGUUUGGCUUUCCAGGCUGCUUGCUGCAUUGUGAAGUUUUGGAUCUUGACCUGUUGCUAUUAAAGAACUCUUCCAGGUUGAUGUUGUUUUCUAUUUUAAUUAUUCUCAAGUAGAUAGGCAUGCUGGGCCCGGGAGUAUUAUCUACGCAUUAUUGGUACGAAAAGCACGGUGACUAUGACAUUGACACAUACAUAUAGUACGUGCCUCAUCAAAGACUCAAAAGUGUUUUUCCACCGUGAAGUGACAAGCGACCUGCCAUGCCAACCUCGGCAAAAGUGAGAUCGACGCGCCAUGCUUACCUAAGAACAACGCCACAGUCGUGUACCGGUGUACGGUGUACCAUUCUCCAUACAAGUGGAUUUACAUAGAGAGAGCGGGGUACGUACGUCUCUCAGUCUGCAAAAACAAAAAACAAAAAAAAAC
This 19295-nucleotide long non-coding RNA is filed under the name Triticum aestivum (bread wheat). RNAcentral describes it as "long non-coding RNA (TAES_LNC022211)". The stretch from base 1047 to 1171 matches the Rfam family "MIR1120/MIR1122 microRNA precursor family". Lineage: Eukaryota; Viridiplantae; Streptophyta; Magnoliopsida; Poales; Poaceae. The record is from RNAcentral.